UGGGGAAUUUUCCGCAAUGGGGGCAACCCUGACGGAGCAACGCCGCGAAAGUAAGGAGGAAGGUCUGCCGAAGAGGCGGAUCUGACCGAUUUACAGUAAGGACGGGCUAAGUUCGUGCCAGCAGCCGCGGUAAGACGAACCGUCCAAACGUUAUUCGGAAUUAUUGGGCUUAAAGGGUGCGUAGGCGGCGCGGUAAGUCAGGUGUGAAAUCCCACGGCUCAACCGUGGAACUGCGCUUGAUACUGCCGUGCUUGAGGGAGACAGAGGUAAGCGGAACUGAUGGUGGAGCGGUGAAAUGCGUUGAUAUCAUCAGGAACACCAGUGGCGAAAGCGGCUUACUGGGUCUCUUCUGACGCUGAGGCACGAAAGCUAGGGUAGCGAACGGGAUUAGAUACCCCGGUAGUCC
Molecule: ribosomal RNA, 406 nt
Filed under: uncultured prokaryote
Description: bacterial SSU rRNA
Rfam family: Bacterial small subunit ribosomal RNA
Source: RNAcentral